Molecule: ribosomal RNA, 441 nt
Filed under: uncultured bacterium
Lineage: Bacteria
Description: partial 16S ribosomal RNA
Rfam family: Bacterial small subunit ribosomal RNA
Source: RNAcentral
CCUACGGGAGGCUGCAGUGGGGGAUAUUGCACAAUGGGGGGAACCCUGAUGCAGCGACGCCGCGUGGGUGAAGGAGCGUUUCGGAGCGUAAAGCCCUAUCGGCAGGGACGAAGGAUGACGGUACCUGACUAAGAAGCCCCGGCUAACUACGUGCCAGCAGCCGCGGUAAUACGUAGGGGGCAAGCGUUAUCCGGAUUUACUGGGUGUAAAGGGGGCGCAGACGGCAGGGCAAGCCAGGAGUGAAAGCCCGGGGCGCAACCCCGGGACUGCUCUUGGAACUGGGCGGCUGGAGUGCGGGAGGGGCAGGCGGAAUUCCUGGUGUAGCGGUGAAAUGCGUAGAUAUCAGGAGGAACACCGGUGGCGAAGGCGGCCUGCUGGACUGCGACUGACGUUGAGGCCCGAAAGCGUGGGGAGCAAACAGGAUUAGAUACCCGGGUAGUC